CCUUUCGUGGUGUAAUUGGAAACAUAUUCGACUUAUAUUUGAAAGGCGCGGGUUUGAGUUUCGGCGAAGGCA
RNAcentral lists this transfer RNA (72 nucleotides) under Stegodyphus mimosarum. It matches the Rfam family "tRNA". Rfam says of the family: Transfer RNA (tRNA) molecules are approximately 80 nucleotides in length. Their secondary structure includes four short double-helical elements and three loops (D, anti-codon, and T loops). Lineage: Eukaryota; Metazoa; Arthropoda; Arachnida; Araneae; Eresidae. The record is from Rfam by way of RNAcentral.